UACGGGAGGCAGCAGUGGGGAAUUUUCCGCAAUGGGCGAAAGCCUGACGGAGCAACGCCGCGUGAGGGAUGAAGGCCUCUGGGCUGUAAACCUCUUUUAUCAAGGAAGAAGAUCUGACGGUACUUGAUGAAUAAGCCACGGCUAAUUCCGUGCCAGCAGCCGCGGUAAUACGGGAGUGGCAAGCGUUAUCCGGAAUUAUUGGGCGUAAAGCGUCCGCAGGCGGCCCUACAAGUCUGCUGUUAAAAAGUGGAGCUUAACUCCAUCAUGGCAGUGGAAACUGUUGGGCUCGAGUGUGGUAGGGGCAGAGGGAAUUCCCGGUGUAGCGGUGAAAUGCGUAGAUAUCGGGAAGAACACCAGUGGCGAAGGCGCUCUGCUGGGCUAUCACUGACGCUCAUGGACGAAAGCCAGGGGAGCGAAAGGGAUUAGAUACCCCUGUAGUCCUGGCCGUAAACGAUGAACACUAGGUGUCGGGGGAAUCGACCCCUCCGGUGUCGUAGCCAACGCGUUAAGUGUUCCGCCUGGGGAGUACGCUCGCAAGGGUGAAACUCAAAGGAAUUGACGG
Molecule: ribosomal RNA, 562 nt
Filed under: uncultured Synechococcus sp.
Lineage: Bacteria; Bacillati; Cyanobacteriota; Cyanophyceae; Synechococcales; Synechococcaceae
Description: bacterial SSU rRNA
Rfam family: Bacterial small subunit ribosomal RNA
Source: RNAcentral